RNAcentral lists this long non-coding RNA (2468 nucleotides) under Vitis vinifera (wine grape). Its description in RNAcentral is "long non-coding RNA (VVIN_LNC001292)". The record is from RNAcentral. Lineage: Eukaryota; Viridiplantae; Streptophyta; Magnoliopsida; Vitales; Vitaceae.
AAUUGGUGUCAGUCGGCCAUAGGCCAUAGUCUUUUUGAUAUCCACUGCCCUCGUUGAUGGUUGAAAGUUUGGGUAACAAGUAACAGCCAUAAUACAACAUUAGCAAAAAAAAAAAAGGCAAUAUAUUCAACAGAAAGUGGGUACCAAAUUUCAUGUAAAACUGUUACAUUGAAUUAAUAAUCAUAGUAAUAAGAAUAAAUUGCACUCAUUACAUUUGGGAGUUCUUUGCAGUUCAUGGACUUCAUAUUCAAGUACAUCAUAGUAAUAAGAAUAAAUUGUACACUGCCCAGCAGUAAGCCAGCAGGCAGCAGCUAGAAAAUUUAGGGGUUGCUGAAAGACAGACUGGUAAUAGCAGUCUUCAUUGGAUCCAGUUUCCGGGCUGUUGAUUGACUUUGAUGAUCAGAAACAAAAGACUGGACAAUGAAUUAAAGAAAUUGUGAGAAAUAAGAGGCAUACAUAAUUGUGUUUCCCAAGUAUGCUUAGUUCAUUAAUUACGGUUUUGUGGAAUUUAACUUUUAUAUAAUCAUCUUAGUCAAUAUUUCAGCUCUCAUGUAUACUCUCAAAUGUUAGAUCAGUUCAAAAGGUUUGUCAAAAUGGUUUCCACCCUAAACAGAUGCCUUGCAACUAUUUGAAACUUGUAGGUUGUAAAAAAUUCUCCCCUUCAACAAGCCUGAGAUAUUCAACAACCAGUCUUGCUUGCCGUAAAGCAGAGAACAGGGAAAAGAUACCACAGCUUCUCAAAACAAUAUUCAAGUAUAGCGACUGCCUGUAGGCAUUGCCACAACCAGAGUAUCUUCUCCCAUUAUGAAACUAAACUCCAAAUUUAUCCAUCUGCUUGGGGGAAGUUCAAAUAAGCAUUGGUCAUUACCUUAGCAGAGUCCACAUAACUUCUUCCAACCAUAUUAUGAGUAGAAAAAGUGAAUGCAAAACUAAACUGAACAUGUUGAAUCCCUAAACAAUAGGAGAUGAAGGUAACAAGAGGUUUGAGAUUUUGAAAAGUAGGGUGGGGGGCUUCCCCUCUUUCUAUCUUGGCAUGCAGUUCUGAUCCUUGUCCAAAGCUGAGGAGAUUAAGGAUUUGGUGGGGAGGAAACCUGAGAGGAGAUUAGCAGUUGGAAAAAGCAAUGACUUAUACAAGAGGAAACUAACUCUCAUUUUAUUUUCCUUCUGAUGUUUUAUACAAAGAAUGAGACAAACUCUCACUAAAGAUACAACAUUGAACAUCCCUGCAUAUUUCAUGUAGUUUUUUCACCAUUCAUCCUUGGUGAGGGAGUGCUUGGGGAGGAAGAAAAUAUGGUUUAGUCAUUCCCCAUUAAGUGCAGGACCGCAGGUUAGUUGGAAAUCAAGAUGUUGGGUUUGUCUACUGGGUCUUGUCAGGAAAUGGCCGUGAAGGCUCACUGUUGAAAAGGAUUAGCCUAUGGAGACAGAUAGUGGCCGAGACAUGUACGAAGAAAAGACUUGACAGUUGGUCCACUAGGAGAGUGUGAAUUUUCAUGGUGUGAGAUUAUGGAUGGUAUUUAAGGAACAAGGGAAAUUCUAACUUGUGACUAUUGAAAGAGAAAAUGGUCUAAAGAUACAUUUUUCUGGAAAAUUCUGUGGAGUGGAAGGGGUGGACAUUGAGAAUGAGAUAGAAGGACUAGGAUCCACUGACGGCAAGUUGCUUAAGGUGCAACGACGAGGGACGACAGUUGGCAUUUUCCAGCCUGUGAGGAAUUUUUCAAGAUCAGGAGGUAGCAAUGAUGACAGCUUUCUUGGAAAAGAUUUAUGGGGUUUGAGGGAAGGAGGGUUUUCAUUAGGGGAACGUGGGAGGUUUCCAGAAGAGGAGUUCUUGGUUAAUUCUUGUACGGAACUUUUCUCAGGGUGAAGACAAGCAAUUUCCAAGGAAAUUGGGGUUAUCAAGAACUUACAGAAGUGGAUACUUUAAGCAGACAACCAUGAAGGAAACCAUAUUAACUAUGGAUAAGUCAGUAAAGAGGGGAAACAUCUCCCAAAUUGGUUUGCAUGCGUAAGGUUGAAAGGGGAUGGGGAAAGUUCUCAUUCAUUAAAACAUUGCAACAGAGCUUGAUGACCUUGAUGUUUCAUUUGUUUGGGGCAUGCUGGGAGAUAUCCUAAUUCAGGAAAAGGGCUUCUCCUAUGAUGAAGGGGACACAUUCCAGAUGAUAAUGGUGAUAAACUCUAAAAAAAAACAUGAAACACCACUUUUGCUCUUGUAAAUUAGUGAGCACAAGACAAAUUUAUACAUGCACAUACAUGCUUCUGCACGCUACCUCAUUAACAAAUAUAUCAACUAUAAAAGGAAAUUUCACAGCAAAAUUACAAGGCAGAGCUAACUAAAUACCGUUGCAUUUACUUGCAUCUGGACUGGAUAGCUUAUACGAGCAAAGGGGAUAAUCUGAAGCGUCUUAGGCUCCCAAGCACAAACCUACACUGGCCAAAAUUGCCUAAAAAACAUGAGGCGGAGAGCAAUGCUG